GAUUUCUGGUGCUGGGGGAGUGAUUAACGUGGACACAGGUUUUCAGGCUUCUCAGAAGCUCAGCCAGGGAUCAAACCCACAGCUGAUAACUGAUAUAUCCAAUCAGAUCUCUCCAUCUGGGCUUCAGCUACAGAUUUGCAAGUGUUGAUGUUUGAACCGUCCAGUCACUUAUCAGGCCUUUAAUUACUCCGGCCCACUGAUAAUGAGCAUCUCGUUUGCAGCUCGGAGAGAAAAUGAUGUCUCAGCACCUGGCAGGGAUGCUGAAGGUCAAAAUAGGCAAGGUUUUUUAUUUAUUUUUUUUGGCAGUGGUUCAUAGAGAAGCGUGUGGUUUUGGAUGGGUUAUACUCCACAAUCAAAACCAUUUAUUAUGUUUCGUCAGCAGCAAAACAAGAUGACAGACUGAGAGAAAAAUCAGUGGAAUCAUAGACAGUCCCAGGAUAGACUCCAACAUCUCUCUUGCUCUCUCUCUCUUUCUAUUGUGUUGAAGCCCAGCAGGCCCGGGCGGAUUACACAAAGACCAGAACUAACACCAGAACCUGUGACACUGGCUUCUGUAAGUGGUGCACCGUCAGCAUUAUGGACACAAAUGUAUUCCAUCUUAGACUGACAUUAGCAUUCCCACUGUGUGUCUGGAAUGGGAGAUUAAUCCCCAGGUAAUCUGCCAGAGAAAUGGAUAAAACAGUUUUCACAGGGAGAUGUAGAGAGGCGCCAGCUCUAUUGUUGCGCCUGGUGUCUAAUAUUUGGAGGUUUUAAUGCAGUGGGGAUUUUGCAUGGCCUGGGACUUUUACAAAGGCUGCAGGAAGCCAAGAGCUGAUUCUGCUGUAACAACGGACCCCACACUUUAUGUCAAGUCCAUUGUGUGUCACUGCAGAGUUCUUUACACAGCUAUAGGUAAAAAAUGCAACUGGACAUUCAUAUAGGGUGACUAGACAUCCCAAUAGAGUGCAUUUGUGCCUGCUCUUUUUUUUCAGUUGUGUUGGUUCUGGGAGUAUUUUUAUUUCUAUUCAUUUUUUCCCCAAAAAUAUAAUCUGACACAACUGUACUUAAUAGCUUUAGUGAAGAAAAGAAGUAGAAUCCUAUGAAGCAUUGUGAAUGACAAUCAAAUGAAAAUAAGCAAAUAUCAUCUAUUAACAACCUCAGAGCUCACAACAGGUCUGUCUUUAAAAGUUUAUAAUUACUGUUAAAAAUCUGUUUUUCUGUUGAGAAAAUGAAAAGUUUUUAUUUCCAGAACCCGACUGUUGCAGUCUAUAACAUAUGUACUGUUGCGAUUUUAGAGUUUCUAGUUAUUUAAUUAGUUCUGCUCUCAUUGGUUCCCUGCCUGUUUGUUUCUAUGGUUGCGGAUUAGUUUAAGUCCUUAGUUCAAGUGUGUCUAGUUUGGUUCUUCAAUUGGUCUGAUAAGUAUGUAAGCUUGAUUUUUAAUUGAAUUGAUUUUGUUAGUGUGUGUAAUAGUGGUGGUAUUUUCUCCUGUUUCGAGUGCUAUUAAAAAGUCUUUCUAAGAAUCUCCUGUGU
This is a long non-coding RNA of Cyprinus carpio (common carp), 1509 nucleotides long. RefSeq lists it as uncharacterized. The record is from RefSeq and is a predicted model, not a curated record. The transcript has 3 exons. NCBI's taxonomy places the organism in Eukaryota, Metazoa, Chordata, Actinopteri, Cypriniformes, Cyprinidae.